Solanum dulcamara is the source of this 4503-nucleotide RNA transcript. It is a transcript of the gene named nuclear pore complex protein NUP98B-like, with no coding region annotated. Lineage: Eukaryota; Viridiplantae; Streptophyta; Magnoliopsida; Solanales; Solanaceae. The transcript is spliced from 13 exons. The record is from RefSeq and is a predicted model, not a curated record.
AACUAGUUCGAAAACUAUAAAAGAGACACCACCUGCGCAUUGUAGAACUCACACCACCAUCAUAUUACCAAAGACCGCUUAUCAUAUACGCUACGGCGCAUCUUAGAGUACGCCACCGGAUUGCUGAUCUUAACUGCCUCGGUGACGAUGUCCGAUGAAAAUCCUGAACACCCUGCUCAACUCUUCCGCUGAUCUGUCUGCAUUUUUCCAGAAAGAACUUUUUGGCUUUUUGAAGUUACAUACAUUGGUAUUCUCAAUUUUCCCGCCGAUCAACUCGUUGAAGUUACAUGGAUAUUCUUGGAACUCGUUGAAACCAGAUUAUCUUGGAAUUUGAGAUCUUAAUAUUGUCAUAUUAGCUUGGAAUUCUUGCAUGCAUUCUUUUUAAGAAAAAAAUUAAGAACUUGUAGUUGUUCUUAAAUGCAUAUUUUAAGGAAAUCAAAAAAAUUGUAGUUUACAAGAAUAUAUUGGCGUUGCACAUAUCAAGAAAUCUUUUAAAGAAAAUUAUGUUGUAAUCCUCGCAGUGUGUUAAGGAUGUUCAAGAAUUUGAUUCUACUUUUUUAGGGAGAUGGGGUCAAUUCGGCGAGGGUAUCACAAGGGUUGUUGAGGAGUUGAUUUUCAACAGCCCAGAUACAUGCUGGUGACACCAAGGUGUACUAAUUUACCCUUUCAAUGUUUCAAUGCUCUUUAUGAUUUUACUAGAUAAUGAAUCGAAAGUUGUGGAGUUGUUCUUGAAGCCCCACUCGAACAAUUAAAUUUUUUUUGAUAGUUCAAUUAUAAAAAGUUGUGAUUUGUUGGAUUUUGAAUGAAGACACUCAAUGCGACAGACUUUCGUAAAUGCCCUCGGUGGCCAUUUUCCUUUGUAUGGUCUAGACUUUUUUAUUUUUUAACAUGGUCUAGACUUUUUGAUUUUGAUUGUUUCUUAAAAAUUGAAAAUUGUGCCAUGUAAGAUAAUGGGGAAUUAUAUGUUUUCUGAUUUUGUUAAUGUUUUGAGGAUCGAUAGAGGUGGGCUGCUGAGAAUAUGGCAAGUCGUGCUUAUAUGGAGAUUUAAUCGCUUAGACUAGUCGCACAAAAGGCAGUGAGCGGUGAGGCUCUGAAUUCUCUGAUGACGAGGUAUCUGUUGCUAUAGGCAUUGAGACCUGCAAACCUGCAAUGUGAAGGUAGAUGACAAUGAAUCUGGUGUUUCACGAGAUGGACUGGUGUUGAUGGGAGAAAAAUAUGGUACAUUAGCCUUUAAUGCAACAACGGAUGCUACAUCUGGUCAAACACAAAACAUAUCUCCGGGCUUAUCCACUUUACAAACAUUUGGAAAGAAAUAUGACGUUAACAGUGUGGCCAAUGAACCUCUGUUGUGGUCCAGGGAUGCCAAUGUCUCAGACUCCUCCGUAUUUGGAUCUCUAAAACCUACUUCAUAAGGUUUUCCAAGCAACUCAACACUCCCUCCCCCUCAAGAUUUGAUUCCUAUUCCUUUGGCCAACCAGCAGUAUCCAUGUCAGGGAGCAAAGGUAAAGAAAUUACAACACAUUUGCUCAAGAGCUCUGGUUUUUGAAAGUCCGCAUUUGGUAUUAAUCAGAAAGGAAGUAGGAACUAGUACAGCAUCAUCCAUUGCAACUCCAGAGAUAGAUAGCACAAGACCCGGUGGUGCAAACAUUCAAUCCAUUUGUGGAAUGCAGACUUUUAACGAUAAAAGCCAGGAGGAGUUUAGGUUUUGAGGACUACCAGUUAGGGACAUUAGCUUUUAAUGCAGCAACGAAUGCUACAUCUGGUCAAGCACAAAACAUAUAUCCGGGCUCAUCCACUUUACAAACAUUUGGAAAGAAAUAUGACGUUAACAGAAGUGGCGAAUGAACCUCUGUUGUGGUCCAGGGAUGCCAAUGUCUCAGACUCCUCCAUAUUUGGAUCUCUAAAACCUACCUCAUUUGGUGUUUCAAGCAACUCACACUUUGGCACCCCAUGAUUUGAUUCCUACUCCUUUAGCCAACCAUCAGUAUCCAUGUCAGGGAGCAAAGGCUUACUUUAUUGUCCAUUUUCUCAUGUAUUGGAGCAGACUAAUCAACAUUUUGAGGGAGAAUUUUUUUCUGUAAACUAUAUGCUCUAUAUUGAUGUGAAAAUCCUUGUUGACCUUUUAUUAAAUACUACUAAGUACUAUUUAUUCCUACUUCAUUUUUUGGAUAUUUAUGUGUUCAAUCUUGAUCAAAUUUGCAAAUCAGGAAAAUAAAGUACACCACCUUUUCUCAAGAGCUCUGAUUUUGGAAACUCAACAUUUGGCAUUAGUCCGAAAGGAGGUAGAAUAGUAUCAUAUAUUGCAACUUCAGAGAACCAUAUCACAGGACUUGGUGGUGGAAAAAAUCAAUCCAUUUGUGGAAUGCAGACUUAUAAAGAUAAAAGCCAGGAGGAGUUGAGGUUUGAGGACUACCAGUUAGGUGAGGAACGGCAUAUAUAGAUGCUACACUUAAUACUGCCAAUUUCAUGAAAGGAGAGAUGUCAUAUUUACUCUUCUAGAGCAGCGAAGCGGCUUUGGAAUUGGUCGAAAAGCUAAAUCUUUUCCUUGUGAAGUAGUUAUGCACAUUGAGCUGUACUCUUCUCCAAAAAUGUUUGUAAUAACUGCAAUACCUCAGUGCGAUUUCUUAUGGAACAUUAGCCUUUAAUGCCGCAACGAAUGCUACAUAUGGUCAAACACAAAAGAUAUCUCCGGGCUCAUCCACUUUACAAACAUUUGGAAAGAAAUAUGACAUUAACAGCGUGGCCAAUGAACCUCUGUUGUGGUCCAGACAUGCCAAUGUCUCAGACUCCUCCUCAUUUGGAUCUCUAAAAGCUACUUCGUUUGGUGUUUCAAGCAACUCACACUGUGGCACCCCAAGAUUUAAUUCCUAUUCCUUUGGCAACCAGCAGUAUCCAUGUCAGGGAGCAAAGGAAAAGAAAGUACAACACCUUUGCACAAGAGCUCUGGUUUUGUAAAAUAGUGUCAUACAUUGCAACUCCAGAUAUAGAUAGCACAAUACCUGAUGAUGCAAAAAUUCAAUCCAUUUGUGGAGUGCAGACUUAUAAAGAUAAAGGGCAGGAAGAGUUGAGGUUUGAGGACUACCAGAUAGGUGAUAAAGAAAGAAAAAGAGAAGAGAAACUCUAGACUAGUGAGAGGGAGCCACGGAUUUAGAGCCAAAAAGCACCAAGAGGAUAACAAGUAGCCACAAAAUUUCAGCCGCACUAAAAGAGCUUCAGAGGUGAGUUUUGGCGAGUUUUGGUGAGUUUAGGGAAAGGUAAGACUUUCCUUUUAAAUUUUCAGUUUAUGAUGUUUUUAUUAGGUAUAUUACAUGUCUUAAAUGAGACUGGAAGUGGAAAAAUUGUAUAAGGAUGCUUGACGUUAGAAACAAACUAAAUUGAAGUCGUUAGAGUUAAAUCGAAGUCGAGUAGUGUGUUGUGAUUGUGGUGCUGCGGUUGCAGCUGGUUUGAUUGCAUAUUUCAGGGCUGGAAAGUGUUCUAAUAAGGGUGUGGGUGCUUCUGGUUGCAUCCACACGACCCUUCUUUUCGUAUGGUUAAAGGUUUUACGAAACAAAGGUUAAAAACUCUAUUUUGGUAUCGUAGUUUUGAGCGAAUUGGUUGGAGUUUGUAUUGUGUACUGUUGAAGUGAUUUUACUUGUAUAUGUGCUGCUGGUUUUCGUUGGUUGGCUGUUGUAAUUAAUGAUGUAUUUGGAAGUUUGGAUAGGGCAAGUUAUAGGGGAGAUGCUGCCCAAUUUCCGGUAACUUCGGAACUAGUAAUAAACUAGUCGAGGGAAAUGGAUAAGGAAAUGAUUCCUAUGGAUAUUUGGUUGUGGAGUUGGAAAUUGGAAAGUGAAAGGUUAUUAACCUUAGUAUUGCCUUCAUGUUAAAUAUUUUCAAAGGACGACGAGGCGAACGUGGUUAAGAGUAAUCCAUAAAAGGUUUCUAACAGCCCUUCUCCGGUCAGACAGAGAUCUUCGUUGAUAAUUCCACAUUCAUCUAUAAGUCAGCAUAGGUUGCCACCUCAAAGGGAUGCAUGACAGAGACAAAGCUAGUGAUAACCCCAAGUUAGAGCCUGGAGAGAUGCAUCAUGUCAAUUGUGGCGAUUAUAAGGAUGUGGAUGGCAUAAUGCCGAAGCUCCAACGUACUGAUUACUACACAGUUCCUCUUAUGGAGGAGUUGAUAUCAAAGGAGAAGGAAGAAACUGGUUUUUGUUGCCACGUGAAACACUUUGUGGUAGGAAGCCAUGGGUAUUUUGAUGAAUGAUUUACUAAACUUUUCAAAUUGAAUUACACCGACAAUCACGAGCUCAAUAAUCUUUCAUAUCACUUUAAAAGUAAAACCUACCUUCACAUUUGAAGGACCGUCUUAAGAACCCACAAUGUUCUUCUUUUUAAUUACCACAAUGAUGUCCAUUAUUAUUUUCUCUUUUGUCAUGCUUAUGUUCAUUGGUACAAUCACAAUAAUUAUUGUCAUUUUUCGAACAUAUUAUGUAUUGCUACUACAUGCACAUAUGAGAAUCGAAUCAGC